GAGGGGAAACACCCGUUCCCAUCCCGAACACGGAAGUUAAGCCCUCCAGCGCCGAUGGUAGUUGGGGCCAGCGCCCCUGCAAGAGUAGGUCGCUGCUAGGC
RNAcentral lists this ribosomal RNA (101 nucleotides) under Geobacillus stearothermophilus. Lineage: Bacteria; Bacillati; Bacillota; Bacilli; Caryophanales; Anoxybacillaceae. The record is from RNAcentral. RNAcentral also lists the same sequence under 1 other name.